ACGAACGCUGGCGGCAUGCCUAACACAUGCAAGUCGAACGAGACCUUCGGGUCUAGUGGCGCACGGGUGCGUAACGCGUGGGAACCUGCCCUUAGGUUCGGAAUAACUCCCCGAAAGGGGUGCUAAUACCGGAUAAUGUCUUCGGACCAAAGAUUUAUCGCCUUUGGAUGGACCCGCGUUGGAUUAGCUAGUUGGUAGGGUAAAAGCCUACCAAGGCGACGAUCCAUAGCUGGUCUGAGAGGAUGAUCAGCCACACUGGGACUGAGACACGGCCCAGACUCCUACGGGAGGCAGCAGUGGGGAAUAUUGGACAAUGGGCGAAAGCCUGAUCCAGCAAUGCCGCGUGAGUGAUGAAGGCCUUAGGGUUGUAAAGCUCUUUUACCCGGGAUGAUAAUGACAGUACCGGGAGAAUAAGCUCCGGCUAACUCCGUA
This 432-nucleotide ribosomal RNA is filed under the name uncultured bacterium. RNAcentral describes it as "partial 16S ribosomal RNA". It matches the Rfam family "Bacterial small subunit ribosomal RNA", at positions 29 to 507 of the family's 1533-position model. The record is from RNAcentral.